ACGCACGCUGGCGGCGUGCUUAACACAUGCAGGUCGAACGGAAAGGCCCUGCUUUUGUGGGGUGCUCGAGUGGCGAACGGGUGAGUAACACGUGAGUAACCUGCCCUUGACUUUGGGAUAACUUCGGGAAACUGGGGCUAAUACCGGAUAGGAGCUCCUGCUGCAUGGUGGGGGUUGGAAAGUUUCGGCGGUUGGGGAUGGACUCGCGGCUUAUCAGCUUGUUGGUGGGGUAGUGGCUUACCAAGGCUUUGACGGGUAGCCGGCCUGAGAGGGUGACCGGCCACAUUGGGACUGAGAUACGGCCCAGACUCCUACGGGAGGCAGCAGUGGGGAAUAUUGCACAAUGGGCGGAAGCCUGAUGCAGCAACGCCGCGUGCGGGAUGACGGCCUUCGGGUUGUAAACCGCUUUCGCCUGUGACGAAGCGUGAGUGACGGUAAUGGGUAAAGAAGCACCGGCUAACUACGUG
Molecule: ribosomal RNA, 467 nt
Filed under: uncultured bacterium
Lineage: Bacteria
Description: partial 16S ribosomal RNA
Rfam family: Bacterial small subunit ribosomal RNA
Source: RNAcentral